UGGAAGUACAGCUUGCUACGUUUUCAAGGGUAAUAGUAUGUUCUAUUUAGGAGCCCAGGCUGAGUUGGUAGAUAACACGCUAGCCUGGUGUAUUAUAGUUAAACCUGAACACUCAAUGCCCACUGGCACUAGCAUGGAUAUGUCCUUUUGCUGGUCACUCCGAUAUUCGGGGUCAGGUAGUUAACAUGUGGUUUAUCAUAAGAUAAGAUGUCAAGGUGGAGGUCAUGCUUCUCCUGCUUAGGUAAGAUUUGUGG
Paramuricea clavata is the source of this 254-nucleotide non-coding RNA. Lineage: Eukaryota; Metazoa; Cnidaria; Anthozoa; Malacalcyonacea; Plexauridae. The record is from the annotation of a GenBank genome assembly.